RNAcentral lists this ribosomal RNA (410 nucleotides) under Clostridioides difficile. Its description in RNAcentral is "bacterial LSU rRNA". It matches the Rfam family "Bacterial large subunit ribosomal RNA", at positions 2131 to 2539 of the family's 2925-position model. The record is from RNAcentral. Lineage: Bacteria; Bacillati; Bacillota; Clostridia; Peptostreptococcales; Peptostreptococcaceae.
UACAUGUACAGGAUAGGUGGGAGGCUUUGAAACCAGGACGCCCGUUUUGGCGGAGCCAUCCUUGGGAUACCACCCUUGUAGUACUGGGCCUCUAACCAUAGGCCAUGAAUCUGGUCUGGGGACACUGUCAGGUGGGCAGUUUGACUGGGGCGGUCGCCUCCCCAAAGGUAACGGAGGCGCUCACAGGUUCACUCAGUACGGUCGGAAAUCGUCCGUAGAGCGUAACGGCAAAAGAGAGCUUGAUUGCGCGACAUACAGGUCGAGCAAGGAUGCAAAUCGGACUUAGUGAUCCGGUUGUUCUGCGUCGAAGGGCCCUCGCUCAACGGCUCAAAGCUACCCCGGGGAUAACAUGACUAUCUCCCCCAAGUGUCCACACCGACCGCGAGGUUCAGCACCCCGACGUAGGCGCA